This is a long non-coding RNA of Marmota monax (woodchuck), 1128 nucleotides long. RefSeq lists it as uncharacterized. The record is from RefSeq and is a predicted model, not a curated record. Lineage: Eukaryota; Metazoa; Chordata; Mammalia; Rodentia; Sciuridae. The transcript is spliced from 3 exons.
CCUGCAGGAGGAGGAGGAGAGGAUAAAGAGGGACGCAGGACCUCGGCCGCCAGCAGCCCCGCCUCAGUUUCCCCAGGGUGGUGGACUCUUCACCUGGCACCAGCAGCGGAGAGGCAGAAACACGGGGAGGAGAGCAGGAGUAAAGACCCCGGGGAGACGGGCACCGGCAGACAGACGCGAAACACAGGGGCCUCGGGGAACCCGUGAGAAACAGGAAAGGGACGACAGGGGAUGGGCAAGAAAAAAAUGGCGGUGGGAAGACCGACAUGGCCAGGUCCUGGCCAGGCCCCAGGAGAGAAGACGAGAAGACCUCUCAGGUCAGAGGAGCCAUCACAAGACCCAAAGAUAAAGGUGUUCCUCUGUCUCUGUGCGAUCAUUUCAUGCAGCCCAGUGAAAUGAUCCCUUCACCUGGAGUGACCUUGAGUGUUUAGCUGUGGGAGGAAACAACCAACCCCUACCAGUACCUGAAUCUUGUCUAAGAAUUCUACUUGGGAUAUUAUCUGGGAUUCCAUGCCUGGAGUAUUCAACAUGAAACCUCAUCCUAGAGCCUCACCUGGGGACCAUCACACAGGUACCGCAGGAUCUCGCCCACAUACAGGAUCACUGUCACACCAUGCUGCCGGCAAUCAUUCCAGAAGCGGGAGGCAGAAAAUUUGGGGGCCAGGACACAGGUGGCUCCUGGGAGGAAGAGAAGGAGGGAGUUUCAAAUCAUGCUUCCGAGUAACUGUGAGAAACUGCUUUGAAUGUGUGAUUGUGGCACGUUAGAACACAGGACGAUGUCCGUCUCAUUUCUGUGUCUUGGCCCAGCAGGACUACUCCCCUGAGAAGAGUAUAGGGAGGCCUGGAUUCAAGUCUCGUUUCCAGAAGUGUGCAAAGCUCAGUACCUGGUAUAAAGUAGACACUGCCAAAUAGGGCUGGCGAUGAAUCAUUCUCAGAUUUGAUAAGUGAAUGACUAGUAAAGUAGAUGGGAAAGUGAUUCUUCCCUCCUGACCCCUAUAUGGCAUCUGGUUCAUCAUCCUGCACCCAAGGGGUAGCUGCUUGUGUGCCUGGUGAGGUAACAAACGUGUCUUCUCUGAGACUGUGUUUUUUGGGGAAAAGUAACAAUGCUCUCUGUGAAAACACAACCCA